RNAcentral lists this long non-coding RNA (3506 nucleotides) under Homo sapiens (human). Its description in RNAcentral is "non-protein coding lnc-SCGB2B2-133:1". The record is from RNAcentral. Lineage: Eukaryota; Metazoa; Chordata; Mammalia; Primates; Hominidae.
AUUCGUGGCCUCGGGAGUCCCGGCAGCGCUUGUUGGCCUGGACUACGGUGGUGGUCUUGGGGCCGCGUGAGAGGAACUUCGGGGACCGGCUGAGUGCCUCGUGGCACCCGCUUGCUGCGGGCUGGAGAGGAGGCGCGCGGCCUUCCUUUUGACUCAGGCCGUGGCCGCCUUGUCGUGGGUCCUGUGUCUUUGCCGACGCGGGGCCCUCGGCCUGGAGCGCUGCCCACCCGCCUCCGAGCUGUGGCGAGCCGCUGCUCAUCCUUCUAAGACGCUGAACCUGCACCUCGUGGAGCUCCUACGGCUCCAUUACCGCAGUCAUCGCCCGGGGAGCUUCCCCCGAGGCUGCCCCUGGAGCUGGGGCUCUCACAAGGACUCAAGUGUUUCAGCCCCUUCCUGUCCCGCUCAUUCAGCCGGUCUGAACCAGUUUCAUGGCUUGCAACGCCAUUGUAACUCACUAAUCCCAAUUAUCAGUAUGUAGCUUGGAUCAAUUCCGUGAACCAGGGUUUCUGUCGAAUCUCAAACGUUAAGGGUCCAAAGCCAUGCUCCCUGUUUCCCCUCUAACCUGCUCCUUCACCACCGUUCCCUAUUUGAUGUAAACGGUACCAUUUUUACUCAGCUGCUCAGACUAAAAGCCGUGAGUCAGCCUUGCCCUGUCUUGCUUCCACAUCUGUUCUGACUACACCUCUCCGUUAUGUAUACACAAUAUAUCCUAAAUCUGACUUCUCAUCUCCAUUCCUACACUUCUCCCACAAGCCACGAUUACUCGGGCUGAAUUAUUGCAGUAGCCUUCUAAAAGUUGCCUCUGUGUCAACUCUUGCCCCCAGUACUUUAUUCUCAAUACAGCAGCCAGAGAGAUCUUCUUAAAAUCUAACUCAGGGCUGGGCGCAGUGGCUCACGCCUGUACUCCCAGUACUUUGGGGGCCCGAGGCGGGCGCAUCACCGGUCAGGAGUUCGAGACCAGCCUGGCCAACAUGGUGAAACCCCGUCUCUACUAAAAAUAUAAAAAAAUUAGCCAGGCGUGGUGGCGCGCGCCUAUAGUCUCAGCUACUUGGGAGGCUGAGGCAGGAGAAUUGCUUGAACCCAGGAGGCGGAGGUUGUGGUGAGCCGAGAUUGUGCCACUGCACUCCAGCCUGGGCGACAGAGCGAGACUCCGUCUCAAAAAAAAAAAAAAAAAUCUAACUCAGAUCAUGUCCUUCCUCUACUCACUCUACUGAUCCCAUGUUACACAGAGAGAAAACCAGACUUUGGUGUCUAAGGAUAUACAUGAUUUAGCUUCUCGUUCUGUUCCAGUCGCGUCUAAUUCAACCAGUACUUGAGCACUUUAUUCCAGUCUCUGCUCAAGCAUCACCUCCAGAGAUGACGUCCCUGACAGCCUUGUUUAAAAUAAUACCACUCAUCUCCUUAACUCAGCUUGUAUUUUCUUUAUAGCAUGUAUCUCUCUCAAGUAUGUCUGUUUAAUUAUUUGUAUGUAUCUGUCUCCUUCACUAGAAUGUAAACAUUUUGAGAUAGUGAUGUUGUUUUGGUUGCUGCCGUAUCAUCAGGGGCCUAGUAACAGCACGUGGCUCAGGGCAGCUGCUCAGUUAAUAUUUGCUGCAUGAAUGAACAGCAGGAUGAAGGCAGAGCACAGGCAGGACGGUGAGCUGAGUGAGCAAAUGGCGAGAAGCCUGGCAUCAUAAGAGAGGGACACAGGAGAGAGACAGAGCUCUGAUGGGGCUGGUGCACAGUGGCUACAAAGAAAGGUUUGGAAAUCCCUGUUUCAGUACAAGGUCCAUGCGAGGAAGUUGAAUUAUUUGUUUUUGUUUUUUUGAGACAGUCUCACUCUGUCACUCGGGAUGGAGUGCAAUGGUGCCAUCUCGGCUCACUGCAACCUCUGUCUCCUCUGUUCAAGCGAUUCUCCUGCCUCAGCCUCCCGAGUAGCUGGGAUUACAGGCGCAUGCCACCACGCCUGACUGAUUUUUUGUAUUUUUAGUAGAGAUGGGUUUCACCAUGUUGGCCAGGCUGGUCUUGAACUCCUGGCCUCAAGUGUUCACCUGCCUUGGCCUCCCAAAGUGCUGGGAUUACAGGCGUGAGCCACCGUGCCCGGAAAUUCUUUCAAGGCUAAAUAAUAUCCCUUUGUAUGGACAUACCAUAUUUUGUUUAUCCAUUUAUCAGUUGAUGAACAUUUGGGUUGUUUUCACUUCUGCUAUUAUAAAUAUCCAUGAGUACCUCUAUGAACAAGUUUUUGUGGGAACAUGUGUUUUCAAUCCUCCUAAGAAUGAAGUAGUUGAGCCAUAUGGUAACUCAGAGUUUAACUUUUUGAGGAACUGUCAAACUGUUUUCCAAAGCAGCUACACUAUUUUACAUUUCCACUGGCAAUUGUAUGAGGGCUCCAAUUUUCUCCACAGCCUCACCAACACCUAUUAUUGUCUAUCUUUUUUUGUUUGUUUGUUUGAGACGGUGUUUCGCUCUUGUUGCUCAGGCUGGAGUGCAGUGGCGUGAUCUUGGCUCACCGCAACCUCCGCCUCCCGGGUUCAAGAGAUUCUCCAGCCUCAGCCUCCCUAGUAGCUGGGAUUACAGGCAUGCACCACCAAGCCCGGCUAAUUUUGUAUUUUUAGUAGAGUGGGGGUUUCUCCAUGUUGGUCAGGCUGGUCUCAAACUCCCGACCUCAGGUGAUCCGCCCUCCUUGGCCUCCCAAAGUGGUGGGAUUACAGGCGUGAGCCACCGCACCCCGCCAUUUGUGUAUCUUUUUGAGACAGGGUGCCACUCUGUCAUCCAGGCUGGAAUGCAGUGGCCCUAUCAUGGCUCACUGCAACCUUCCUGGGCUCAAGCAAUCCUCCACCUCAGCCUCCCAGGUAGCUGGGACCACAGGUGCAAACCACCAUGCCCAGAUAAUUUUUGUAUUUUUUUGUAGAGACAGGGCCUUGCCAUGUUGCCCAGGUUGGUCUCAAAUGCCUGGACUCAAGUGAUCCUCUCGCCUUGGCUUCCCAGAGUGCUGGAAUUACAGGCGUUGAGCCCCACACCCAGCUAAACACUUUUAAAUUGGGCAAUUUUUCUUUUUAUUGUUGAGUGGCAAGAGUUCUUUUAUAUAUUCUAGAUACAAGUCCCUAAUCAGAUCUAUAAUUUGUAAAUAGUCUCUCUUAUUCAGCGGAUUGGUUGUCUUUUCACUUUCUUGAUAGUGUCCUUUGAAGCACAAAAGUUUUUAAUUUUUAUAAAGUCCAGUUUAUUCAUUUUUGUUGUUGUUGUUGUUUGCACUUUUGGUGUCAUAUGCAAUAAAGCAUUGCCUAAUCCAGGAUACAAAUAUUUACCCAUAAUGUUUGCUUCUAAGUUUUAUGUGUUAGCUCUUACAUUUAGGUCUUUGAUUUAUUUUGAGCCAAUUUUUGUCUAUGGUAUGAGGGGGACUUCAAAUCUUGCCUGAAAUAGAGAUGGGAUUAAGAAGCUUUCAGAUCAAACAGGAGAUGGAGUGAUUACAGGAGGAAGAGUGAGAUGCAUUCUGGAAAGUAAGCAAUUCAGUGUGGCCACAGCCUAAA